RNAcentral lists this ribosomal RNA (521 nucleotides) under uncultured bacterium. Its description in RNAcentral is "bacterial SSU rRNA". It matches the Rfam family "Archaeal small subunit ribosomal RNA", at positions 345 to 866 of the family's 1478-position model. The record is from RNAcentral.
AACCUCCGCAAUGUGAGAAAUCGCGACGGGGGGAUCCCAAGUGCCAUUCUUAACGGGAUGGCUUUUCUUAAGUGUAAAAAGCUUUUGGAAUAAGAGCUGGGCAAGACCGGUGCCAGCCGCCGCGGUAACACCGGCAGCUCUAGUGGUAGCAAUUUUUAUUGGGCCUAAAGCGUCCGUAGCCGGUUUAAUAAGUCUCUGGUGAAAUCCUGUAGCUUAACUGUGGGAAUUGCUGGAGAUACUAUUAGACUUGAGACCGGGAGAGGUUAGAGGUACUCCCAGGGUAGAGGUGAAAUUCUGUAAUCCUGGAAGGACCGCCUGUUGCGAAGGCGUCUAGCUGGAACGGUUCUGACGGUGAGGGACGAAAGUUAGGGGCGCGAACCGGAUUAGAUACCCGGGUAGUCCUAACUGUAAACGAUGCGGACUUGGUGUUGGGGUGGCUUUGAGCUGCUCCAGUGCCGAAGGGAAGCUGUUAAGUCCGCCGCCUGGGAAGUACGGUCGCAAGACUGAAACUUAAAGGAAUU